Molecule: ribosomal RNA, 253 nt
Filed under: uncultured bacterium
Lineage: Bacteria
Description: partial 16S ribosomal RNA
Rfam family: Bacterial small subunit ribosomal RNA
Source: RNAcentral
UACGUAGGGUCCGAGCGUUGUCCGGAAUUAUUGGGCGUAAAGAGCUCGUAGGCGGUCUGUCGCGUCGAAUGUGAAAACCCGGGGCUCAACUCCGGGCUUGCAUUCGAUACGGGCAGACUAGAGUUCGGUAGGGGAGACUGGAAUUCCUGGUGUAGCGGUGAAAUGCGCAGAUAUCAGGAGGAACACCGGUGGCGAAGGCGGGACUCUGGGCCGAUACUGACGCUGAGGAGCGAAAGCGUGGGUAGCAAACAGG